RNAcentral lists this ribosomal RNA (3012 nucleotides) under Triticum aestivum (bread wheat). RNAcentral's name for it is "partial small subunit ribosomal RNA". The record is from RNAcentral. Lineage: Eukaryota; Viridiplantae; Streptophyta; Magnoliopsida; Poales; Poaceae.
AUGGCAGUCACAUCCCCAUCUGCCCGCAUUCCCAUCCUCCUCCUAGUGCUAGCACUCUCAACCAUGCCUGCUUCUUCUUUUUCGAGACCGGCUCCAGCCAAUGGCAGCGACACAGACAUCGCCGCGCUGCUGGCUUUCAAAGCCCGGCUCACCGACCCUGCCGGUGUCCUCGCCAACAACUGGACCGGCACGUCUUUCUGCCACUGGGUCGGCGUCUCGUGCAGCCACCGCCGGCAGCGCGUCACCGCUCUCUCCUUCUCUGAAACGCCGCUUUUUGGAUCGUUGGUGCCUCACCUUGGUAACCUCUCUUUCCUCUCCUUCCUUCAAAUUAUCCAUGCUAACCUCACGGGCUCCAUCCCACCCCAACUUGGCAGGCUACACCGGCUUAGAUACCUUCGCCUUAAAGGAAAUGGACUUUCAGAUGACAUUCCUACUACCCUAGGUAACCUCACAAGGCUUGACUUCCUUAGUCUAAGUUAUAACCAACUCACGGGCCAAAUACCUCCCAAUUUAUUUAUCCAUAUGCGGGCACUUGACAUACUUUCGCUGGCUGGAAAUGAAUUGCGUGGCCAAAUACCACCCUAUCUAUUCAACAACACGCAUUCCUUGACAGCCAUCGACUUUGGUGACAAUUAUCUCUCGGGUCAGAUACCAUCCUAUCUAUUCCACAACACACCUUACUUGACAGACAUAUACUUUGGUAUUAAUAGUCUCUCUGGUCAGAUCCCAACCGCUCUUAGCAAUAUCACCAAUCUCACUCUUUUAGACCUCUCCUUCUCCAAUCUCACUGGACACAUACCGGCAGAGUUCGGACUAAUGCAAAAACUCACCGACCUAUAUCUUGGAUCCAAUCAACUUACCGGUACGAUUCAAGCUUCCCUCGGAAAUUUAACCAACCUGCAUAUCCUAGCUUUGGAAGCAAAUAAAUUAUCAGGCUCGGUACCACCAACGCUUGGGAACAUUGCAACUUUAGAGUUUCUUAAUCUUCCAAAGAACAAUUUAGAGGGAAACAUGGAAUUCCUUUCGGCUCUUUCCAAUUGCAGAAACCUCCAACAAAUUGGCUUAGGGGCCAAUUCUUUCGCAGGCUACCUCCCUGAAUAUAUGGGAAACCUCUCUUCACGAUUAGUCACCUUCGAUGCAGGUUACAACAAGUUAAUAGGUGGACUUCCUGUAGCAAUCUCAAACAUAAGCAGCCUUGAAUUGUUAGCUCUUCCUAAUAACCAACUCAGCGAGCCGAUUCCAAAAUCCAUCGCCAUGAUGAAAAAUCUCACGUGGCUUGAUCUCUCUAGCAAUGAAAUUUUAGGCACUAUCCCAACUGAAAUGGGCAUGCUUGGGAGUCUACAACAAGUGUUUCUCCAAGGAAACAAAUUCCUUGGCUCUAUACCAAGCACCUUCGGUAAUCUUAGUAGGUUAGAGAAAAUCGACUUGUCUAAUAAUCAACUAAGUUCAAUGAUACCUGCAAGUCUAUUCCGCCUUGUCAAGCUUAUCAUACUCGAUCUUUCCUGCAAUUCUUUUGAUGGAGCACUACCGACGGACGUUUCUGGGCUAAUACAAACAUACAAAAUGGACAUUUCUUCUAAUUUCUUGAUUGGAAGCAUCCCAAAAUCAAUUGGAAAACUCAAGAUGCUAGCAUACCUAAAUCUAUCCCACAACUCGUUCGGAGGCCCCAUACCAGAACCACUUCAAAAGCUAACUAGCUUAGCUUCAUUAGACCUCUCCUUCAACAACAUCUCUGGUACCAUUCCUACGUUCCUUGCAAACUUUACCGACUUGACUACCUUGAACCUCUCAUUCAACAUGUUGGAAGGCCAAAUACCAGAGGGGGGUGUUUUUUCAAACCUCUCGUUGCAGUCUUUGAUCGGGAAUGCUGGACUAUGUGGCGCUCCACACCUAGGAUAUUUGCCAUGUGUUAACAAAUAUCAUUCAAGUAGUAGACACCCGCUAAAAUUUCUACUCCCAAUUGCCACCGUAGCUCUUGGAAGUAUUGCUAUUUCCUUAUACCUAUCGACCAGAAAGAAACUGAAGAACAAGGAGGACAUAAAAAUUUCUUUAGAUUCAACUGAUGGCAUAGGCCACCGAAUAGUCUCCUGCCGAGAGCUCAUUCGUGCCACAAAUAAUUUCAACGAAGAUAACAUUUUGGGAUCUGGAAGCUUUGGAAAGGUCUUCAAGGGCGAGCUGAAUGGUUUGAUGGUGGCAAUAAAAGUUCUUGACAUGCAGCUGGAGCAAGCCAUGAGAAGCUUUGAUGCCGAGUGUCGUGUGCUUCGCAUGGCGCGGCACCGCAACCUGAUACGGAUACUCAACACCUGUUCCAACCUAGACUUUAGAGCACUUGUGCUUCAAUACAUGCCAAAUGGCAGCUUAGAGAAGCUGUUACACCAGUCUCAGAGCACAGUGCACUUGGGGUUCCUCGAGAGGCUUGACAUCAUGCUUGAUGUGUCGAUGGCAAUGGAGUAUCUACACCAUGAUCACUAUGAGGUGAUUUUGCACUGUGACUUGAAGCCGAGCAAUGUGUUGUUUGAUGAGGAAAUGACUGCUCAUGUGGCGGAUUUCGGCAUUGCGAGGCUUCUUCUAGGCGAUGACAACUCCAUGAUUUGUGCGAGCAUGCCCGGAACAGUUGGCUACAUGGCACCAGAGUAUGGAUCUCUUGGAAAAGCAUCACGGAAGAGCGACGUGUUCAGCUAUGGGAUCAUGCUCCUUGAAGUUUUUACGGGAAGAAGACCCAUAGAUGCAAUGUUUGGGGGAGAACUAACUCUUAGGAAGUGGGUACACCGUGCAUUCCCCAUGGAGCUUCUUCAUGUCGUCGAUGACCAGCUACUUCAAGGCCAGGCCUCUUCUCCUAGCUGCAACUUGCAUGAAGGAUUCAUCGUGCCGGUAUUCGAGCUAGGUUUGCUCUGCUCUAGCCACUCGCCAGACCAGAGGAUGAUGAUGAGCGACGUGACCGUGAGGUUGAAGAAGAUCAAAGUGGAGUACAACAAAAGGACAGCCACGCCAUGGCGUGUCCUAGCACGGUGA